ACGAACGCUGGCGGCGUGCUUAACACCUGCAAGUCGCACGGAAAGGCCCUGCUUUUGUGGGGUGCUCGAGUGGCGAACGGGUGAGUAACACGUGAGUAACCUGCCCUUGACUUUGGGAUAACUUCAGGAAACUGGGGCUAAUACCGGAUAGGAGCUCCUGCUGCAUGGUGGGGGUUGGAAAGUUUCGGCGGUUGGGGAUGGACUCGCGGCUUAUCAGCUUGUUGGGGGGGUAGUGGCUUACCAAGGCUUUGACGGGUAGCCGGCCUGAGAGGGUGACCGGACAUAGGGGGAGAGAGACGCAGCAGAGACUUCUGGGGGAGACAGGUGGGGGAAAUAUCACACAGUGGGCGGGAGCGUUACGCAGCAACGCCGCGGGGGGGAUGACGGCCCGGGGUGUGUAACCCGCUCUCGCCUGACGAAGCGUGAGUGACGGUAAUGGGUAAAGAAGCACCGGCUAACUACGU
This 464-nucleotide ribosomal RNA is filed under the name uncultured bacterium. RNAcentral's name for it is "partial 16S ribosomal RNA". It matches the Rfam family "Bacterial small subunit ribosomal RNA", at positions 29 to 506 of the family's 1533-position model. The record is from RNAcentral.